UACGGAGGGUGCAAGCGUUGUCCGGAAUCACUGGGCGUAAAGGGCGCGUAGGCGGCUUUAUAAGUCGGGGGUGAAAGCCUGUGGCUCAACCACAGAAUUGCCUUCGAUACUGUAGAGCUUGAGACCGGAAGAGGUAAGUAGAACUGCGAGUGUAGAGGUGAAAUUCGUAGAUAUUCGCAAGAACACCAGUGGCGAAGGCGGCUUACUGGUCCGGUUCUGACGCUGAGGCGCGAAAGCGUGGGGAGCAAACAGG
RNAcentral lists this ribosomal RNA (253 nucleotides) under uncultured bacterium. RNAcentral describes it as "partial 16S ribosomal RNA". It matches the Rfam family "Bacterial small subunit ribosomal RNA", at positions 524 to 776 of the family's 1533-position model. The record is from RNAcentral.